CCGGUUGGACCUUUUGCGAAGUUUGAGAAGGAUUUGAGGGGAGUAACUCCAGGUUUUUGGAAGAGAAAGGAGUGGUGGGUGUUUGGGUGUGACUUGGUCGAAUUUAGGAUUUGAACUCUGAAUUUAGAUUUAAGAUUUAAUGAGAUCGAGAGAGAUUCAAUGGAAAAGGGGUGUGGAUUUGGAAAGAGGAAAGUGAGGAGGUCAUGUUGUGUAAAAAUGGUGGUGAUUGGGCCAUUGUCACCGGCGGAGGUGAUUUCCAGCCGGCGGUUCAUGGCGGGGACGAUGGGGUUCUCUAGGGUUACG
RNAcentral lists this long non-coding RNA (303 nucleotides) under Nicotiana benthamiana. RNAcentral's name for it is "long non-coding RNA (NBEN_LNC022601)". The record is from RNAcentral. Lineage: Eukaryota; Viridiplantae; Streptophyta; Magnoliopsida; Solanales; Solanaceae.